Molecule: ribosomal RNA, 465 nt
Filed under: uncultured bacterium
Lineage: Bacteria
Description: partial 16S ribosomal RNA
Rfam family: Bacterial small subunit ribosomal RNA
Source: RNAcentral
GACGAACGCUGGCGGCGUGCUUAACACAUGCAAGUCGAACGGAAAGGCCCUGCUUGCAGGGUACCGGAGUGGCGAACGGGUGAGUAACACGUGGGUGAUCUGCCCUGCACUUCGGGAUAAGCCUUGGUAACUGGUUCUAAUACCGGACAGGAGCCUUUUUGAGUUUGAAGGUUGGAACGUUUUUUUGGUGUAGGAUGAGGUUGGGGCCUAGCAGAUUGUUGGUGGGGUAAGGGCCUACCGAGGCGGCGACGGGUAGCCGGCCUGAGAGGGUGGACGGCAACAGUGAGACUGGGAUACGGCCCAGACCCCGACUCGUGGCAGAAGUAGGGGAUGUUGAUAAAGGGGCGCAGGCCUGAUGCAGCGCCACCGCGGGCGGGAUGACGGUCUUGGGGUUGUAAUCUCCAUGCGCUAGUGACGAAGCUUUUUGUGACGGUACCUAGAUAAGAAGCACCGGCUAACUACGUG